UGAGUACGAGAUGCUACGGCGUCGAAGCAGUCUAGGUCAUACUUCCAAGAAAAGCUUGCACUGUCAUAAACGAAGAAUGCCUGUACCAUAACCGACACAGGUGGGUAGGUAGAGUAUACUAAGGGGCGCGAGAUAACUCUCUCUAAGGAACUCGGCAAAAUGACUCCGUAACUUCGGGAGAAGGAGUGCCUUAUUUUUAAGGUUGCAAUAACAAGAUCCAAGCAACUGUUUAUCAAAAACACAGGUCUCCGCUAAGUCGUAAGACGAUGUAUGGGGGCUGACGCCUGCCCAGUGCCAGAAGGUUAAAGAAGUUGGUUAGCAUUUGCGAAGCUGAUAACUGAAGCCCUGGUGAACGGCGGCCGUAACUAUAACGGUCCUAAGGUAGCGAAAUUCCUUGUCGGGUAAGUUCCGACCCGCACGAAAGGCGUAAUGAUUUGGAUACUGUCUCGGAGAGGGGCUCGGUGAAAUAGACUUGUCUGUGAAGAUGCGGACUACCUGCACCUGGACAGAAAGACCCUAUGAAGCUUUACUGUAACUUGAGAUUGAAAUUGGACUUUAUUUGCGCAGUAUAGGUGGGAGGCGUUGAGAAUAAUCUUGCGGGAUUAUCGGAGCCAUCAGUGAGAUACCACUCUUGUAAUGUCAGAUUUCUAACUUUGUAUCAUUAUCUGGUCAAAGAACAGUUUCAGGCGGGCAGUUUGACUGGGGCGGUCGCCUCCCAAAGGGUAACGGAGGCGCACAAAGGUUUCCUCUGAACGGGUAGAAAUCGUAUCUAGAGUGUAAAGGCAUAAGGAAGCUUGACUGUGAGACCUACAAGUCGAGCAGGGACGAAAGUCGGUCUUAGUGAUCUGACGGUGCUGAGUGGAAAGGCCGUCACUCAACGGAUAAAAGUUACUCUAGGAUAACAGGCUGAUCUCCCCCAAGAGUUCACAUCGACGGGGAGGUUUGGCACCUCGAUGUCGGCUCAUCGCAUCCUGGGGCGGUAGUACGUCCCAAGGGUUGGGCUGUUCGCCCAUGAAAGCGGUACGCGAGCUGGGUUCAGAACGUCGUGAGACAGUCCGGUCCAUAUCCGGUGUAGGCGUUAGAAUAUUGAAAGGAGCCUUCUCUAGUACGAGAGGACCGAGAAGGACAUACCUCUGGUGUGCCAGUUAUCGUGCCAACGGUAAACGCUGGGUAGCUAUGUAUGGAGUGGAUAACCGCUGAAAGCAUCUAAGUGGGAAGCCCACCUUAAGAUAAGUA
Molecule: ribosomal RNA, 1236 nt
Filed under: metagenome
Description: bacterial LSU rRNA
Rfam family: Bacterial large subunit ribosomal RNA
Source: RNAcentral